RNAcentral lists this ribosomal RNA (445 nucleotides) under uncultured Novosphingobium sp. RNAcentral describes it as "bacterial SSU rRNA". It matches the Rfam family "Bacterial small subunit ribosomal RNA", at positions 335 to 797 of the family's 1533-position model. The record is from RNAcentral. Lineage: Bacteria; Pseudomonadati; Pseudomonadota; Alphaproteobacteria; Sphingomonadales; Sphingomonadaceae.
AGACCUACGGGGGGCUGCAGUGGGGAAUAUUGGACAAUGGGCGCAAGCCUGAUCCAGCAAUGCCGCGUGAGUGAUGAAGGCCUUCGGGUCGUAAAGCUCUUUUACCAGGGAUGAUAAUGACAGUACCUGGAGAAUAAGCUCCGGCUAACUCCGUGCCAGCAGCCGCGGUAAUACGGAGGGAGCUAGCGUUGUUCGGAAUUACUGGGCGUAAAGCGCACGUAGGCGGCGACACAAGUCAGAGGUGAAAGCCCGGGGCUCAACCCCGGAACUGCCUUUGAAACUAGGGUGCUAGAAUCUUGGAGAGGUCAGUGGAAUUCCGAGUGUAGAGGUGAAAUUCGUAGAUAUUCGGAAGAACACCAGUGGCGAAGGCGACUGACUGGACAAGUAUUGACGCUGAGGUGCGAAAGCGUGGGGAGCAAACAGGAUUAGAUACCCCAGUAGUCGC